UGCAAGUCGAGCGGAAACGAUGGGAGCUUGCUUCCAGGCGUCGAGCGGCGGACGGGUGAGUAAUGCAUAGGAAUCUGCCCGGUAGUGGGGGAUAACUCGGGGAAACUCGAGCUAAUACCGCAUACGUCCUACGGGAGAAAGUGGGCUUUUGCUCACGCUAUCGGAUGAGCCUAUGUCAGAUUAGCUAGUUGGUGGGGUAAAGGCUCACCAAGGCGACGAUCUGUAGCUGGUCUGAGAGGAUGAUCAGCCACACUGGGACUGAGACACGGCCCAGACUCCUACGGGAGGCAGCAGUGGGGAAUAUUGGACAAUGGGGGCAACCCUGAUCCAGCCAUGCCGCGUGUGUGAAGAAGGCUUUCGGGUUGUAAAGCACUUUCAGCGAGGAGGAAAGCGGUGUUGUUAAUACCAGCAUCGUGUGACGUUACUCGCAGAAGAAGCACCGGCAAACUCCGUGCCAGCAGCCGCGGUAAUACGGAGGGUGCGAGCGUUAAUCGGAAUUACUGGGCGUAAAGCGUGCGUAGGUGGUUAAGUAAGCCAGAUGUGAAAGCCCCGGGCUUAACCUGGGAACGGCAUCUGGAACUGCUUAACUAGAGUGCAGUAGAGGAAGGUAGAAUUCCACGUGUAGCGGUGAAAUGCGUAGAUAUGUGGAGGAAUACCAGUGGCGAAGGCGGCCUUCUGGACUGACACUGACACUGAGGUACGAAAGCGUGGGGAUCAAACAGGAUUAGAUACCCUGGUAGUCCACGCCGUAAACGAUGUCUACUAGCCGUUGGGCUCCUUGAGAGCUUAGUGGCGCAGCUAACGCAAUAAGUAGACCGCCUGGGGAGUACGGCCGCAAGGUUAAAACUCAAAUGAAUUGACGGGGGCCCGCACAAGCGGUGGAGCAUGUGGUUUAAUUCGAUGCAACGCGAAGAACCUUACCUACCCUUGACAUCCAGAGAAGUCGCUAGAGAUAGCUUCGUGCCUUCGGGAACUCUGUGACAGGUGCU
RNAcentral lists this ribosomal RNA (989 nucleotides) under Marinospirillum sp. CPA-128. RNAcentral's name for it is "bacterial SSU rRNA". It matches the Rfam family "Bacterial small subunit ribosomal RNA", at positions 56 to 1042 of the family's 1533-position model. The record is from RNAcentral. Lineage: Bacteria; Pseudomonadati; Pseudomonadota; Gammaproteobacteria; Oceanospirillales; Oceanospirillaceae.